GAUGAACGCUGGCGGCGUGCCUAAUACAUGCAAGUCGAGCGAACAGAUAAGGAGCUUGCUCCUUUGACGUUAGCGGCGGACGGGUGAGUAACACGUGGGUAACCUACCUAUAAGACUGGAAUAACUCCGGGAAACCGGGGCUAAUGCCGGAUAACAUUUAGAACCGCAUGGUUCUAAAGUGAAAGAUGGUUUUGCUAUCACUUAUAGAUGGACCCGCGCCGUAUUAGCUAGUUGGUAAGGUAACGGCUUACCAAGGCAACGAUACGUAGCCGACCUGAGAGGGUGAUCGGCCACACUGGAACUGAGACACGGUCCAGACUCCUACGGGAGGCAGCAGUAGGGAAUCUUCCGCAAUGGGCGAAAGCCUGACGGAGCAACGCCGCGUGAGUGAUGAAGGUCUUCGGAUCGUAAAACUCUGUUAUUAGGGAGGAACAAAUGUGUAAGUAACUGUGCACGUCUUGACGGUACCUAAUCAGAAAGCCACGGCUAACUACGUG
Molecule: ribosomal RNA, 497 nt
Filed under: uncultured bacterium
Lineage: Bacteria
Description: partial 16S ribosomal RNA
Rfam family: Bacterial small subunit ribosomal RNA
Source: RNAcentral